Long non-coding RNA from Notothenia coriiceps (black rockcod), 460 nucleotides. RefSeq lists it as uncharacterized. The record is from RefSeq and is a predicted model, not a curated record. The transcript has 2 exons. Lineage: Eukaryota; Metazoa; Chordata; Actinopteri; Perciformes; Nototheniidae.
UGUGUGUGUGUGUGUGUGUGUGUGUGUGUGUGUGUGUGUGUGUGUGUGUCAGGAGCACCCUCUGCUGGGUCAGCCUUUCUUCAUGCUUCACCCCUGCAGGACGGAGGAGUUCAUGCGUCCGGUGCUGCAGGCGGCUCAGGACCAACACAGGCCGGUGAACUACGUGUUGUCGUGGCUCAGUGUGGUGGGUCCUGUGGUGGGGCUGGACGUCCCUCUGAAGUACUCCACCCUGCUGCACCCUGCGCCCCCCCCCGGCAGCACAGAGCCAGGCUGACUCCACCCCCCUGUGUCCCUCAGCAUCACUAUGGAGCCCCCCUGUACGGAGGCUGCAUCACUAAUUAGACCCUCAGAGGCUGAAGGUGGACUGUGUGUCAGAGUCCUGCACAGGUCUGAUUGUCAAGAUCCGCAAACUGACCCGAACCCGCUUAUCCUAUGAGCAUUAAAAAUGUGCAAUUAUUAA